AAUAUACUUCCACCGUCCAACAACAAAAGAUGUCUUAACUUUUACUAAAUUUGAAUGCAUCUAUAUACUAAGUUAUGUCUAGAUACAUCUAAAUUUUGAAAAACUUGAGACAUCUUUUGUUGUACGGAGGGAGUACGAU
Molecule: non-coding RNA, 139 nt
Organism: Brachypodium distachyon (stiff brome)
Lineage: Eukaryota; Viridiplantae; Streptophyta; Magnoliopsida; Poales; Poaceae
Source: Rfam